This 301-nucleotide ribosomal RNA is filed under the name uncultured bacterium. Its description in RNAcentral is "partial 16S ribosomal RNA". It matches the Rfam family "Bacterial small subunit ribosomal RNA", at positions 509 to 808 of the family's 1533-position model. The record is from RNAcentral.
CAGCCGCCGCGGUAAUACGUAGGUGGCAAGCGUUGUCCGGAAUUAUUGGGCGUAAAGCGCGCGCAGGCGGAUAGGUCAGUCUGUCUUAAAAGUUCGGGGCUUAACCCCGUGAUGGGAUGGAAACUGCCAAUCUAGAGUAUCGGAGAGGAAAGUGGAAUUCCUAGUGUAGCGGUGAAAUGCGUAGAUAUUAGGAAGAACACCAGUGGCGAAGGCGACUUUCUGGACGAAAACUGACGCUGAGGAGCGAAAGCGUGGGGAGCGAACAGGAUUAGAUACCCGGGUAGUCCCUGUCUCUUAUACC